RNAcentral lists this ribosomal RNA (440 nucleotides) under Ovis aries (sheep). RNAcentral's name for it is "partial 12S ribosomal RNA". It matches the Rfam family "Bacterial small subunit ribosomal RNA", at positions 768 to 1404 of the family's 1533-position model. Lineage: Eukaryota; Metazoa; Chordata; Mammalia; Artiodactyla; Bovidae. The record is from RNAcentral.
CAAACUGGGAUUAGAUACCCCACUAUGCUUAGCCCUAAACACAAAUAAUUAUAAGAACAAAAUUAUUCGCCAGAGUACUACCGGCAACAGCCCGAAACUCAAAGGACUUGGCGGUGCUUUAUACCCUUCUAGAGGAGCCUGUUCUAUAAUCGAUAAACCCCGAUAAACCUCACCAAUCCUUGCUAAUACAGUCUAUAUACCGCCAUCUUCAGCAAACCCUAAAAAAGGAACAAAAGUAAGCUCAAUAAUAACACAUAAAGACGUUAGGUCAAGGUGUAACCUAUGGAGUGGGAAGAAAUGGGCUACAUUUUCUACCCAAGAAAAUUUAAUACGAAAGCCAUUAUGAAAUUAAUAGCCAAAGGAGGAUUUAGCAGUAAACUAAGAAUAGAGUGCUUAGUUGAAUCAGGCCAUGAAGCACGCACACACCGCCCGUCACCCUC